GGGGGUAUAGCUCAGUUGGCUAGAGUGUUUGACUGGCAGUCAAAAGGUCAGGAGUUCGAUUCUCCUUAUCUCCA
RNAcentral lists this transfer RNA (74 nucleotides) under Bacteroidales bacterium. Its description in RNAcentral is "tRNA-Ala". It matches the Rfam family "tRNA". Rfam says of the family: Transfer RNA (tRNA) molecules are approximately 80 nucleotides in length. The record is from RNAcentral. Lineage: Bacteria; Pseudomonadati; Bacteroidota; Bacteroidia; Bacteroidales.